GGGGUAGUCGUCUAGCUUGGACUAGGAUACCAGCCUGGGGCGCUGGCGAUCCUGGGUUCAAAUCCCAGCUACCCCACCA
This 79-nucleotide transfer RNA is filed under the name Candidatus Bathyarchaeota archaeon. RNAcentral's name for it is "tRNA-Pro". It matches the Rfam family "tRNA". Rfam says of the family: Transfer RNA (tRNA) molecules are approximately 80 nucleotides in length. Lineage: Archaea; Thermoproteati; Candidatus Bathyarchaeota. RNAcentral also lists the same sequence under 1 other name. The record is from RNAcentral.